Non-coding RNA from Caenorhabditis elegans, 21 nucleotides. The record is from Ensembl. Lineage: Eukaryota; Metazoa; Nematoda; Chromadorea; Rhabditida; Rhabditidae.
UACCAUGGACAUUACCACAAU